UGAACAUACCUCUGGUGUUUCGGUUGUUGCGCCAGCAGCAUUGCCGAGUAGCCAAGUAUGGAUGAGAUAAACACUGAAAGCAUAUAAGUGUGAAACUCGCCUCAAGAUAAGGUUUCCCCGAAGGGCACUUGUAGACUACAAGUUUGAUAGGAUGGAAGUGUAAGUGCAGUAAUGUAUUGAGCUAACCAUUACUAAUUGCCCGUUCGGCUUGGUCAC
Molecule: ribosomal RNA, 216 nt
Filed under: Candidatus Endomicrobium procryptotermitis
Lineage: Bacteria; Pseudomonadati; Elusimicrobiota; Endomicrobiia; Endomicrobiales; Endomicrobiaceae
Description: partial 23S ribosomal RNA
Rfam family: Bacterial large subunit ribosomal RNA
Source: RNAcentral